This 524-nucleotide unclassified non-coding RNA is filed under the name Apostichopus japonicus (Japanese sea cucumber). RNAcentral describes it as "ITS1". The record is from RNAcentral. Lineage: Eukaryota; Metazoa; Echinodermata; Holothuroidea; Aspidochirotida; Stichopodidae.
AAUUGGAAAGUCGAAGCCGGGGGGACUCGAGCGGGGUUUUCACCGCCUCCUUCCCCGUUCCACGGUCGAGGUCAGACCCCGCGCUUCGCCUUCGCUCUCUCCGACAAAAAGGAGACGGGCGUGUCACACACAGACCAGCCCGGGGAGUACCCGGUUCUUCUCUCGUCGUCUGUCUCACGGAGUCUCGCACUCCCGGUAGCUUCGAGGGAGAAGUCCCGCAAGGGUGGAGACGCCGUCGCCGUCCGCGGCGCGGCGCUCCUCGAGGCAUUCUCCGCAGAGCAGAGAAAGGGGCACCGGUGUCGCCCGAUUUCCCCCCAGUCGGCGAGUCUCACUCGCGCGACCCGCCCUCGCGGCGGUGGGGGGAAGGAGGGAGCCCGCUUCCCCCCUCGGCUCGACGGAGGAUAUUUCUUUCCAGUCACAAGCAAAGAAGGCACAGAGUCCCCGUGUCCUUUCUCCUUCCGUUCCACUUCUUCCCUCGGCUCUGAGGAGAGUUUGCGAACGCGGGAGUCUUCCAGUGGCAAAUG